ACGGAGGGUGCAAGCGUUGUUCGGAAUUACUGGGCGUAAAGAGCGUGUAGGCGGUCUGAUAAGUAGAGUGUGAAAGCCCGAGGCUCAACUUCGGAAGUGCACUCUAAACUGUCAGGCUUGAGUACGGGAGAGGGAAGUGGAAUUCCUGGUGUAGAGGUGAAAUUCGUAGAUAACAGGAGGAACACCGGUGGCGAAGGCGUCUUCCUGGACCGAUACUGACGCUGAGACGCGAAAGCGUGGGGAGGAAUCAG
Molecule: ribosomal RNA, 251 nt
Filed under: uncultured prokaryote
Description: partial 16S rRNA
Rfam family: Bacterial small subunit ribosomal RNA
Source: RNAcentral